GACGAACGCUGGCGGCGUGCUUAACACAUGCAAGUCGAACGGAAAGGCCCUGCUUUGGUGGGGUGCUCGAGUGGCGAACGGGUGAGUAACACGUGAGUAACCUGCCCUUGACUUUGGGAUAACUUCAGGAAACGGGGGCUAAUACCGGAUAGGAGCUCCUGCCGCAUGGGGGGGGUUGGAAAGUUUCGGCGGUUGGGGAUGGACUCGCGGCUUAUCAGCUUGUUGGUGGGGUAGUGGCUUACCAAGGCUUUGACGGGUAGCCGGCCUGAGAGGGUGACCGGCCACACUGGGACUGAGAUACGGCCCAGACUCCUACGGGAGGCAGCAGUGGGGAAUAUUGCACAAUGGGCGGAAGCCUGAUGCAGCAACGCCGCGUGCGGGAUGACGGCCUUCGGGUUGUAAACCGCUUUCGCCUGUGACGAAGCGUGAGUGACGGUACUGGGUAAAGAAGCACCGGCUAACUACGUG
This 468-nucleotide ribosomal RNA is filed under the name uncultured bacterium. RNAcentral's name for it is "partial 16S ribosomal RNA". It matches the Rfam family "Bacterial small subunit ribosomal RNA", at positions 28 to 507 of the family's 1533-position model. The record is from RNAcentral.